RNAcentral lists this transfer RNA (73 nucleotides) under Apaloderma vittatum (bar-tailed trogon). It matches the Rfam family "tRNA". From Rfam's summary of the family: Transfer RNA (tRNA) molecules are approximately 80 nucleotides in length. Their secondary structure includes four short double-helical elements and three loops (D, anti-codon, and T loops). The record is from Rfam by way of RNAcentral. Lineage: Eukaryota; Metazoa; Chordata; Aves; Trogoniformes; Trogonidae.
GGGCCGUUAGCUCAGUCAGUUUAGCAUGGCGCCAACAACACCAAGGUCGCGGGUUCAAUUCCCGUUCGGUCCC